GGCUGGUCCGAAGGUAGUGAGUUAUCUCAAUUGAUUAUUCACAGUUACAGAUUGAACUCCUUGUUCUAUUCUUUUCCCCCUUCUCACUACUGGACUUGACUAGUCUAAA
This 109-nucleotide Y RNA is filed under the name Aotus nancymaae (Ma's night monkey). RNAcentral's name for it is "Y RNA (ENSANAG00000000663.1)". It matches the Rfam family "Y RNA". From Rfam's summary of the family: Y RNAs are components of the Ro ribonucleoprotein particle (Ro RNP), in association with Ro60 and La proteins. The Y RNAs and Ro60 and La proteins are well conserved, but the function of the Ro RNP is not known. Lineage: Eukaryota; Metazoa; Chordata; Mammalia; Primates; Aotidae. The record is from Rfam by way of RNAcentral.